This 357-nucleotide unclassified non-coding RNA is filed under the name plant metagenome. RNAcentral's name for it is "partial contains 5.8S ribosomal RNA, internal transcribed spacer 2, and large subunit ribosomal RNA". The stretch from base 1 to 107 matches the Rfam family "5.8S ribosomal RNA", at positions 50 to 154 of the family's 154-position model. The record is from RNAcentral.
GAAAUGCGAUACUUGGUGUGAAUUGCAGAAUCCCGCGAAUCAUCGAGUUUUUGAACGCAAGUUGCGCCCGAAGCCAUUCGGUCGAGGGCACGUCUGCCUGGGUGUCACGCAUCGUUGCCCCCCCAAACUCCGGUUCGGGCGGGGCGGAAGUUGGCCUCCCGUGCGUGCCUGCGCGCGCGGUUAGCCCAAAAGCGAGUCCUCAGCGACGAGCGCCACGACAAUCGGUGGUUUUUUUACCCUCGUUCCUCGUCGUGCGUGUCCCGUCGCCCGAACGCGCUCUUGUGACCCUCACGCGUCGCCUCGGCGGCGCUCCCAACGCGACCCCAGGUCAGGCGGGACUACCCGCUGAGGUUAAGC